UUUUCAAUUUCCCCGAAUUUCAUUUGCAUUUCAAGACCUCCUCGACAAUCUCUCUAUACAAAUACCCCUUUCUUUCCUUUCUCUUAUCCUCUAGUCAAAGCUUUCGCCAGCCACGAACAGUGACGAAAGUAGAUCAAAGCGUCACCACCGCUUCUUCGCUCUUCCUUAUUCGGUAGUAAAAUAUGGCGGAUGCUGAGGACAUUCAACCCCUCGUCUGUGAUAAUGGAACUGGAAUGGUGAAGGCGGGUUUUGCUGGUGAUGAUGCCCCUAGGCAGUUUUUCCCAGUAUUGUUGGUCGACCCCGACAUACUGGCGUUAUGGUUGGGAUGGGUCAGAAGGAUGCCUAUGUAGGAGAUGAGCACAAUCCAAAAGAGGUAUCCUUACUUUGAAAUAUCCAAUUGAGCAUGGUAUUGUCAGCAACUGGGAUGAUAUGGAAAAGAUCUGGCAUCAUACAUUCUACAAUGAGCUCCGUGUUGCUCCCGAGGAGCACCCUGUGCUGCUCACUGAGGCACCUCUCAACCCCAAGGCCAACAGAAAAAGAUGACUCAAAUUAUGUUUGAGACCUUUAAUGUACCUGCCAUGUAUGUUGCCAUCCAGGCUGUUCUCUAUUGUAUGCCAGUGGUCGUACAACAGGUAUUGUGUUGGAUUCUGGUGAUGGUGUCUCUCACACUGUACCAAUCUAUGAAGGUUAUGCCCUUCCACAUGCCAUCCUCCGUCUAGACCUUGCUGGUCGUGAUCUCACUGAUUCUUUGAUGAAGAUUCUUACUGAGAGAGGUUACAUGUUCACCACCACUGCUGAACGGGAAAUUGUCCGUGACAUGAAGGAGAAGCUAGCUUAUGUUGCCCUGGACUAUGAGCAGGAACUGGAGACAGCCAAGAGCAGCUCUUCUGUUGAGAAGAACUAUGAGUUGCCUGAUGGACAAGUGAUUCUAUUGGAGCCGAGAGAUUCCGUUGUCCAGAAGUCCUCUUCCAGCCAUCACUCAUUGGGAUGAAGCUGCUGGAAUCCAUGAAACUACCUACAACUCUAUUAUGAAGUGUGAUGUUGAUAUCAGGAAGGAUCUUUACGGUAACAUCGUGCUCAGUGGUGGUUCAACCAUGUUCCUGGUAUUGCAGACCGUAUGAGCAAGGAGAUCACUGCCCUUGCACCAAGCAGCAUGAAGAUUAAGGUGGUUGCGCCGCCUGAGAGAAAGUACAGUGUCUGGAUCGGAGGAUCUAUCUUGGCAUCUCUCAGCACCUUCCAACAGAUUGGAUUUCCAAGGGUGAGUACGAUGAAUCUGGCCCAUCCAUUGUCCACAGGAAGUGCUUCUAAGUUUUCCAAGUGCUUUUAUGGUAAGUUACAUUUUCAAUUAGUUGCCUUCUUUUGUGUUAAGUGAGAAAGUGUGAAGGAUGGUGUACCUUGAGUUUAUAUUAUACAAGUCAUCCCUAUUCAUCAUAAGUUAUUACGACCUGUGAUGCCUGCCGGUGUUACUGUGGAAGAUCGCCAUCUAGAUAUGGUGAUGGACAGACAAUUGAUGAGGAUAAUGACUGUGAUGCUGUUUCUUAGUUUUUUUUGUUUAAUUUUACUGUUCAUUCCCCUCCCCCCAAAAUGAGAACAUCAAUGGGGUGAGUUGUUUGGGUUAGAUUAAGAGAUUGUUGGGGAAGAACAUUAAUGUUAAUAGCUAUUGUACCGAACGAGCAAAAUUUAAAUUAGUGUCAGUUUGCGGUCAUAAAACAGUCAUGGGAUUUAUUUUGGA
Molecule: long non-coding RNA, 1732 nt
Organism: Hibiscus syriacus
Lineage: Eukaryota; Viridiplantae; Streptophyta; Magnoliopsida; Malvales; Malvaceae
Exons: 5
Source: RefSeq, a predicted model, not a curated record